This 201-nucleotide unclassified non-coding RNA is filed under the name Hevea brasiliensis (rubber tree). The record is from RNAcentral. Lineage: Eukaryota; Viridiplantae; Streptophyta; Magnoliopsida; Malpighiales; Euphorbiaceae.
GUGAUCUUCACAAACUUACUUUAGCAAGGCCAUCCUCUGUUGGAUAUCUUCCUUCUGUUGCUGAGUUGAAAGCUAAUUCCCAGUUUCUCACUGAUUACCAGUGGAUUUUGUGCCUUCUGAUAUCUCAAAGUUAAGAGAUAUUCAAGGAAGAAGAAUUCAAUGCCCAUUGGAAACUGUGGAGAAUAAUUAUGAACUUCCCCG